CCUACGGGGGGCUUCAGUGGGGGAUAUUGCACAAUGGGGGGAACCCUGAUGCAGCGACGCCGCGUGGGUGAAGAAGCGCCUCGGCGCGUAAAGCCCUGUCAGCAGGGAAGAAAAUGACGGUACCUGAAGAAGAAGCCCCGGCUAACUACGUGCCAGCAGCCGCGGUAAUACGUAGGGGGCAAGCGUUAUCCGGAUUUACUGGGUGUAAAGGGGGCGCAGACGGCGAUGCAAGCCAGGAGUGAAAGCCCGGGGCCCAACCCCGGGACUGCUCUUGGAACUGCGUGGCUGGAGUGCAGGAGAGGUAAGUGGAAUUCCUAGUGUAGCGGUGAAAUGCGUAGAUAUUAGGAGGAACACCAGUGGCGAAGGCGGCUUACUGGACUGUAACUGACGUUGAGGCUCGAAAGCGUGGGGAGCAAACAGGAUUAGAUACCCUAGUAGUC
Molecule: ribosomal RNA, 440 nt
Filed under: uncultured bacterium
Lineage: Bacteria
Description: partial 16S ribosomal RNA
Rfam family: Bacterial small subunit ribosomal RNA
Source: RNAcentral